RNAcentral lists this long non-coding RNA (1255 nucleotides) under Nicotiana benthamiana. RNAcentral's name for it is "long non-coding RNA (NBEN_LNC041902)". Lineage: Eukaryota; Viridiplantae; Streptophyta; Magnoliopsida; Solanales; Solanaceae. The record is from RNAcentral.
UUUUUAUUAUUUUUUUUCUGCUCGUGUUAGUAGUUAGUUUAAGUUUGUUCCAUAUUAAUUGGUCUUAACAAAUCCCAAACUUGCCAUCUCUGGUUUGAUUGCUGAAUGAUUGUUAAUUGCGUUUGUGAAAUUGAGUGAUAGGUCUUGUUUAACCUCUAUAGUUCCCUUGAUUCUAACAAUACCAUGUUGGCCUCUGAAAUUGAAUGCUGUUUUAAAUUCGUGCAAGUAGAAAAAAAGGUCUGGACUGUUCUGAUAAUUAUUCAUUAGUGUUAGUGAUCUCCUGAUUAUUUUAAGUUCAAAAUUUUUAAUUAAUGACUCACAUGUUUUGAAGAACCAAUUGCCAAGUUUUGAAUAAUAAUUUCCCUUGUGUUGGGUUUGAGUUUCUAAUCUGAUUGCUGAAUUUGGAUUGUUUGUCUUUGAGUAGUGUUGUUUGGAUUGGUUAUAGCUGUUAGUAUUAGGAAAUUAGUCUUAGGAGUUAAUUUUGACACCAAAUAGAUAAUUGAAGGGUAGCACAUGAUUUGUACAGUCAUUUCUGAUAAAUUAAAGAUUAUCAAGGGCAAUAUGGACUUUUCAGGUUAUUUGUGGUAAUAUUGGGAACCAACAAGGGUAAUAUAGGUAGCAUAUAAAGGAUAGGAAAUGGUAGAAGUGUUUAGACCCUUCUAGAAGGGGUCUUUAAUACUAAAUCAGUAAUAUUGCUGCAGUAACUUGGGAAAUAAGUCAUGAAAUGAGGGUUCAAAUAAGUAAUAUAUGGAAAUUAAAGAGGGACUUAAGGGUAAAGCACAAUAAAAAGGAUGCCCUAGUCUUUGGCUAUAUAAAUGGGUUAAAAUAACUCAAAAAAGGGGUUGGGGGAAAAUCUGGAAAAGUAUCUCUAUAACCCUCUCAGAAUUAUGAAGUUAAAAUCCCUGAAACAUCAGCAAUUUCACGGUGCCAUUGCUCAUUUUUAGUGGCGUUUGGUCAUAUCCUGUUUUGAGACCAAUUUUGCCUCAAUUAGGCUGGAAGUAGUCGAGUUUGGCUUUUAGAAAUUUGAUUCUGAAGCUGCUGUAAUCCUAGCCUAUUUCACUGUUGCAUUACUUUCCUGGGGUUUUGAAAGUUGAAAAUAUGAAGUUGCUGGGGCUCUAUUGGUUUUUGGGGUGUACGUCUGGGUUAUAUGCUGUCUCUGUUGUUGAUUGCUGUGGCUGAAUCUGCUGACUUCCCUCUUUUCCUAUUGCAUUGUGAUUUCCAGGUACAUUACUUAAAGCUCAUCCAUGUACAAGCC